UAAGGAAUAUUGGUCAAUGGACGCAAGUCUGAACCAGCCAUGCCGCGUGAAGGAUUAAGGCCCUCUGGGUUGUAAACUUCUUUUAUAGGGGAAGAAAUGUGACGGUUCUCCGUCACUUGACGGUACCCUGGGAAUAAGCACCGGCUAACUCCGUGCCAGCAGCCGCGGUAAUACGGAGGGUGCAAGCGUUAUCCGGAUUCACUGGGUUUAAAGGGUGCGUAGGUGGGCAGAUAAGUCAGUGGUGAAAUCUUCCGGCUUAACCGGGAAACUGCCGUCGAUACUAUGUGUCUUGAAUAUUGCGGAGGUAAGCGGAAUAUGUCAUGUAGCGGUGAAAUGCUUAGAUAUGACAUAGAACACCAAUUGCGAAGGCAGCUUACUACACAAUCAUUGACACUGAGGCACGAAAGCGUGGGUAGCGAACA
Molecule: ribosomal RNA, 422 nt
Filed under: uncultured bacterium
Lineage: Bacteria
Description: bacterial SSU rRNA
Rfam family: Bacterial small subunit ribosomal RNA
Source: RNAcentral